UUCUCCUUCGUUCUAGAUUGGAUCUCCCUUUGACAUGCUUCCAUCUGUUGUUCUUGUCCUGCCCUCAAGUGUCAUCCAAUGUCUCCAGCGGAUAUAUCAACUAUUGCUGUGAUCCAUCGUAACUUUCAACCAGAUAUUAAGCCGAGAGCUACAUUCUUCAACUUACAACCAUUCAUUUGGUGACCUUACAUUCAACUUACAUUCCUCAGCUUACAACCAUUCCUUAACUACAUUCCUCAAUUUACAACCAUUCCUCAACUAUUCAGUUCUCCUCAACUUACAACCAGUGAUACUGAAAAUCCUUGCGGGACCGCAGUUCAUUUGGUUUUCUGGAAAGUUCAAGCGAAUCUGAUAAUGGAAGAAGAUUGGAGUCUCUGUCUCUCUGUCUCCCUUUCUCGGUCUCUUCUUUUCCCCCACUCCCCAAUGCAAAUUACUUUUCUGUUUCAUUGCACAGAAGCCCUAUUACUGUAUAGGACUGGAAACCAAAGCAGAUGGAAUAGAUAAAACAGCAAAAAAAAAAACAGAUGGGGAAAAGUUUCACUCGUACAAUAAAAAUAAUGUUUUGAUGAUAUUUUGGGGAAA
Molecule: non-coding RNA, 582 nt
Organism: Pantherophis guttatus
Lineage: Eukaryota; Metazoa; Chordata; Lepidosauria; Squamata; Colubridae
Source: RefSeq, a predicted model, not a curated record